GAUGAACGCUAGCGGGAGGCCUAACACAUGCAAGCCGAGCGGUAGAGUUUCUUCGGAAACUUGAGAGCGGCGCACGGGUGCGUAACACGUGUGCAACCUACCUUUAUCUGGGGGAUAGCCUUUCGAAAGGAAGAUUAAUACCCCAUAAUAUAAUGAUUGGCAUCAAUUAUUAUUGAAAACUCCGGUGGAUAGAGAUGGGCACGCGCAAGAUUAGAUAGUUGGUGAGGUAACGGCUCACCAAGUCAAUGAUCUUUAGGGGUCCUGAGAGGGAGAUCCCCCACACUGGUACUGAGACACGGACCAGACUCCUACGGGAGGCAGCAGUGAGGAAUAUUGGACAAUGGGUGAGAGCCUGAUCCAGCCAUCCCGCGUGAAGGAUGACGGUCCUAUGGAUUGUAAACUUCUUUUGUACAGGGAUAAACCUACCCUCGUGAGGGUAGCUGAAGGUGCUGUACGAAUAAGCACCGGCUAACUCCGUG
RNAcentral lists this ribosomal RNA (479 nucleotides) under uncultured bacterium. Its description in RNAcentral is "partial 16S ribosomal RNA". It matches the Rfam family "Bacterial small subunit ribosomal RNA", at positions 28 to 507 of the family's 1533-position model. The record is from RNAcentral.